GACGAACGCUGGCGGCGUGCUUAACACAUGCAAGUCGAACGGAAAGGCCCUUCGGGGUGCUCGAGUGGCGAACGGGUGAGUAACACGUGGGUGAUCUGCCCUGCACUUUGGGAUAAGCCUGGGAAACUGGGUCUAAUACCGAAUAUGAUCAUCGGCUUCAUGGUCGGUGGUGGAAAGCUUUUGCGGUGUGGGAUGGGCCCGCGGCCUAUCAGCUUGUUGGUGGGGUAAUGGCCUACCAAGGCGACGACGGGUAGCCGGCCUGGGAGGGUGACCGGCCACACUGGGACUGAGAUACGGCCCAGACUCCUACGGGAGGCAGCAGUGGGGAAUAUUGCACAAUGGGCGCAAGCCUGAUGCAGCGACGCCGCGUGAGGGAUGACGGCCUUCGGGUUGUAAACCUCUUUCAGCACAGACGAAGCGCAAGUGACGGUAUGUGCAGAAGAAGGACCGGCCAACUACGUGCCAGCCGCCGCCGUAA
Molecule: ribosomal RNA, 478 nt
Filed under: uncultured bacterium
Lineage: Bacteria
Description: partial 16S ribosomal RNA
Rfam family: Bacterial small subunit ribosomal RNA
Source: RNAcentral